AUCUGUGGCCUUGGUUUGUUCACCUGCAAUCUUGGAAAAAUGGGUGGCUGUAUUAUCCCAAAGUGCUGGACACUUACCAACAUCAUCAGGGCUGGAAGCAGGUGAAUUUUCUGUUUACUUCAGAGAAGAACGAUGGGAAAUGGCCUGAUGAGGGGAUCCUGAGCGCCCUUGCAGAGGCUAUCUUUGUUCACACUCCUGGGAGGAAGAACCACAUUAGAACCUUGUUGAUCUUGUGAAGAAAAUGCAGAAAGCCUGGUGUAGGUUAAGUUACCAAGUAAAGAAGAAUGCUGCUCAACUCCUUGUUAUCCCAGAAGAGGCAAUUUCUUAGUACUCCUGAACCUACACUUAUGUCUUUGAACCCCUGGGUGCAUUUUCCAAGGAUCUUUUCUCUUUUAAGAAAACAUUCCAGAACAUCAUAAGUGGUGACUUUAAACUCUUCACCCCUUUCAUUAUCAAAAGAAUGGAUUUCAGAGAAGGAAUGUUCUUACUCUGUGCCUAAUGUGUGCUGGAGCAGAAUGACGCAGCUUCCCGAGAUCCUGGCCAACAUCCCUAAGAGCUCAUUCUGCUGUUUCUUGAAGAACCAAGACUCAGGCAACCAUCUCAGAUGGUGUCCAUGUUUUCAUAUCACUUCUCUACUUAGAAUUUUUCACGGCUUCCCUCAUUGUAAGUGAAGACCAAAGUCUAUACCCCACAGCCCUAUGUGACAUUCCCCUGUGUCCUCUAGACUCCUGCCCUGGGGCCAGCUUCAUCCUUACCCUCUGUACUCCAACUCCCCCAAAGUCCUGUAUUUCCUAUAUCUUUAGGAUCUUCAAACUUACUGGCCCUCUGACUAGAACAGUCCCUGCUGAUCCCAAAACACCCUCAUUACCUAGUUAACUGCCAUUUAUUCUUGAGAUCUCAGCUAAGACUUUACUUCCUCAGGAACCUUCCCCGGAUCAGCCUCUGUUUCUAUUCUAGGUCAAAGUUCCCCGCUUCUCUCCUCCCUGGGACUCAGUCCUGUUCUUCCCAGCACUGACUAUACUUUGUAAUCACAGAUUCAUUCAUCUGUGCUGUUAUCAUCUGUCUCCCCCAAAAGACCUUCACACCACAUUACC
This is a long non-coding RNA of Ailuropoda melanoleuca (giant panda), 1094 nucleotides long. RefSeq lists it as uncharacterized. The transcript has 4 exons. NCBI's taxonomy places the organism in Eukaryota, Metazoa, Chordata, Mammalia, Carnivora, Ursidae. The record is from RefSeq and is a predicted model, not a curated record.